This 1215-nucleotide ribosomal RNA is filed under the name uncultured Cortinarius. RNAcentral's name for it is "eukaryotic LSU rRNA". Lineage: Eukaryota; Fungi; Basidiomycota; Agaricomycetes; Agaricales; Cortinariaceae. The record is from RNAcentral.
UUAUUGAAAUAAACCUGAUGAGUUGUUGCUGGUUCUCCCNGGAAGAUUGUGCGCACUUGUCUUCUUUAUAUCUCCNCCUGUGCGCCUUUUGUAUACCUGGAUAUCUCUCCAAGUGCUUGCCCUUGGGUUUGAGGAUUAUUGUCUUUUCCUUACAUUUCCAGGCCUAUGUUUCUUCUUAUACCCCAAUGUAUGUUAUACAAUGUAAUAAAAUUUGGCUCUUCGUGGCCAUUAUAAACAAAUACAACUUUCAGCGNCGGAUCUCUUGGCUCUCGCAUCGAUGAAUAACGCAGCGAAAUGCGAUAAGUAAUGUGAAUUGCNUAAUUCAGUGAAUCAUCGGAUCGUUGAACGCUCCUUGCGCUYCUUGAGUAUUCCGAGGAGCAUGCCUGUUUGAGUGUCAUUAAUAUAUCAACCUCUACAGCUUUUGCUUAUUUGANUGUUGGAUGUGGGGGUUUUUUGCUGGCCUUUCUGAGGUCAGCUCCCCUGAAAUUCAUUAGCGGAACAAUUUGUUAACUGUUCGUUGGUGUGAUAACUAUCUACGCUAUUGACGGAAAGCAGUUCAGCUUCUAACAGUCCAUUGACUUGGACAAUCUUUUUAUUAAUGUGACCUCAAAUCAGGUAGGACUACCCGCUGAACUUAAGCAUAUCAAUAAGCGGAGGAAAAGAAACUAACAAGGAUUCCCCUAGUAACUGCGAGUGAAGCGGGAAAAGCUCAAAUUUAAAUUCUGGCAGUCUUNGGCUGUCCGAGUUGUAAUCUAGAGAAGUAUUAUCCGCGCUGGACCGUGUACAAGUCUCCUGGAAUGGAGCGUCAUAGAGGGUGAGAAUCCCGUCUUCGACACGGACCGCCAGGGCUUUGNGAUGUGCUCUCAAAGAGUCGAGUUGUUNGGGAAUGCAGCUCAAAAUGGGUGGUAAAUUCCAUCUAAAGAUAAAUAUUGGCGAGAGACCGAUAGCGCACAAGUNCCGNGAGGGAAAGAUGAAAAGAACUUNGGAAAGAGAGUUACACAGUACGNGAAAUUGGAGAAAGGGAAACGCUNGAACUCAGUCGCGUUGGUCAGGGAUCCCCCUUGCUUUUGCUUGGUGUACUUUGUGGUNGACGGUUCAGCAUCAAUUUUGUCCAUUGGAAAAAGGUCAGGGGAAUGUAGCUUCUUGGGAUGUGUUAUAGCCCUUGGUUGCAUACAAUGAUUGGGAUUGAGGAACUCAGCACGCCGCAAGGCCGGG